CCAACAGAGAUGGCAAGAUUUCGCGUUGGUCUGGAUUCUCUGCUGUGAGAUUGGUCCGGUAAGUUUUUUUAUGAUAAACUAAAACUGAGGAACCCACAUAAGUUGGGUUUUUUUUUCCCCAACACGGACCCACAUAAGUUAGGAUCAGAUUAUCUUCGGUUAAUUGCGUGGUUUAUGAUUUAAAACUGGGUGUAAUACUAGUGUAAAAGCAAGAUUGAGGUUUAUGGUUUUUGUAGCUUUU
Molecule: long non-coding RNA, 241 nt
Filed under: Durio zibethinus
Lineage: Eukaryota; Viridiplantae; Streptophyta; Magnoliopsida; Malvales; Malvaceae
Description: long non-coding RNA (DZIB_LNC002069)
Source: RNAcentral